Molecule: ribosomal RNA, 526 nt
Filed under: uncultured bacterium
Lineage: Bacteria
Description: bacterial SSU rRNA
Rfam family: Bacterial small subunit ribosomal RNA
Source: RNAcentral
CCUACGGGAGGCUGCAGUCGAGAAUCGUUCGCAAUGCACGACAGUGCGACGAUGCGACGCUGCGUGCAGGAUGAAGGCCUUCGGGUUGUAAACUGCUGUCAUGAGGAACAAUGUCACGGGUGCCAAUACCACUCGUCCGUGAUGGUACCUUGAGAGGGAGCCACGGCUAACUCUGUGCCAGCAGCCGCGGUAAUACAGAGGUAGCGAGCGUUGUUCGGAUUUACUGGGCGUAAAGGGUGCGUAGCGGCUUCGUGUGUCGGAUGUGAAAGCCCAUGGCUCAACCGUGGAAAUGCAUCCGGAACUGCGGGGCUAGAGUACUGGAGCGGUGAGCGGAAUACUUGGUGUAGCGGUGCAAUGCGUAGAUAUCAAGAGGAACGCCGGUGGCGAAGGCGGCUCACUGGACAGAUACUGACGCUGAGGCACGAAAGCUGAGGGAGCGAACAGGAUUAGAUACCCUGGUAGUCCCAGCCGUAAACGUUGUGCACUUGGUGUGAGGGGAAUUAUCCAGCUCCGCGCCGUAGCUAAC